GUGGGGAAUUUUGGACAAUGGGCGCAAGCCUGAUCCAGCAAUGCCGCGUGCAGGAAGAAGGCCUUCGGGUUGUAAACUGCUUUUGUACGGAACGAAAAGGCUCUGGUUAAUACCUGGGGCUCAUGACGGUACCGUAAGAAUAAGCACCGGCUAACUACGUGCCAGCAGCCGCGGUAAUACGUAGGGUGCAAGCGUUAAUCGGAAUUACUGGGCGUAAAGCGUGCGCAGGCGGUUUUGUAAGACAGAGGUGAAAUCCCCGGGCUCAACCUGGGAAUUGCGCUUGUGACUGCAGCGCUGGAGUGCGGCAGAGGGGGAUGGAAUUCCGCGUGUAGCAGUGAAAUGCGUAGAUAUGCGGAGGAACACCGAUGGCGAAGGCAAUCCCCUGGGCCUGCACUGACGCUCAUGCACGAAAGCGUGGGGAGCAAACAGGAUUAGAAACCCCGGUAGUCC
This 450-nucleotide ribosomal RNA is filed under the name uncultured bacterium. RNAcentral's name for it is "partial 16S ribosomal RNA". It matches the Rfam family "Bacterial small subunit ribosomal RNA", at positions 354 to 796 of the family's 1533-position model. The record is from RNAcentral.